CAGACAUUAAAUUUCGUUCUAUUCAUUUUAGACAUAUAAUGCUAAGCUGAUUUUUUUAUAGCACACUGAUCGAUAUCUCUGUAAAAUAAUCAUUUUUUUAACUAGCGGGGCAGUGAAAUCUUUGCUUUGUGCUAAAGUCAACAGUGACAGAGUUUGAGCUCAAAUAAAUGCCGUGAUGUCUGGAGCCCUUUGCAGAAGGCAGAAGGCGAGCUUCUACAAUGGGCUCCUGUGUGGCUUGCCAACAACAAGCAGCGGCUAUUUUGCACAGGGCUCUGCUGACUGAAGUGAUCCCCACGGCCUCAGUGGAAGAGAGGAGGGAGAGGCGGCCUCAGAGGGAAGAGGGAUAGCUGCAGAAGAGCUACACUGAUGCACGUACACACACACACACACACUUGAACACUCACACAAUGUCCCUCUCAGUCCUGGGUUGUGACCGGCCCAUGGCAUUGGCCAGAUGCCCAUGGCUUUCAUUUGACAGGCGCUUUCCAUUGCUGCUUACGUCUGCUUUCAUCACCCUGCAUCAAGCAACCUGAAAGAACUUCGCUGUCGAUGUACUUGGCUAUAUGUACGUCUGACCUGUCUGCCAUAUGUAAUAUCAAAGCCUCUGUCAGCGUGGAGCUGAAUGGGAACAAAAGAGAGGCCUCCAUUAAUGAUUAACUGUUCUAAAAGCCCCGGCUUUUGUAUUCCCAUGGUGCCCAGGCUAUCUGGCCACCAUGUGACAUGCUCACUGCAUUUUUCGAGCAGAUUGGGGGAAAGCUAGUGAGCAAACACAGGUGCUUUGGAGCAGCGUUGCCGACGCUGUCAGGGACAACCACAAACAAGAGCAGCUAUGCCUGGCUAAAUGAAUCCCCACCCCUCCCAACACCAUCACCACCUCCACCACCCCCUCUCUGUCGCUAGCUAACUUGUUUGCUAGCUUCCUAUAGCUUUCUCCCUAACCCUUCCUUCUGGAGCGUCCCCAUGUUACCCCCCCCCCCGCACCGAAACACACACACACACACACAAGUCCAAUGUCCACUGCAGCCGCGCUCCACAACUUCUCACACCCUCCAAAGAAACAAACAAAUAAAAGUGAGGACGGCCGACCACUUCUUUGAGGUGAUGGCAUUUGCUGUGGUCAUGACUAGUGGGAGAGCAAACAAAUUAAUGGUGUUCGAGUUUUCACUUUCCAAACCAAACUAAAUGUCUUUUAGUUCAAGUGGGGCUAUUCCACUGACCCUGGUGUCAAAUGCUGUAUAAGGGUUGCACACUCUUGCACUUGAAAUGCUGAGAAGAGGCUGUAAGAAAUUAAACAGGGCUUGAGUAUCGACCUACACGAGCUCAGUCUGUUGAAACGCCUCAAAGCAGCAGGUGAAAGAUAAAUCUUGAAUAAAUUGUACGUGUAAUAAACAGUCAUGGUCUAUUUUUGCAGAUGUGUAUUUUGACCACAAACUUUAACAUGAGGUGCCUGGAGCACUUAACCUUUUCAUCCAGACUGACUGAUUGUUCAGAGUGACUGUGGCUGCUGUGUCGUUCAUCUUUGAUAAGACAAUCAGAUGAUAGGAUGGCGUUAUCUUAACAUGGCUUUCCGGCUGGGGGACAAAUGAACAGUGUGUGAUAACAGGAACAAAAGCUUGGCUCUUAUUUGGCUGGCUCCUCUGAAGAAAGGAAAAAUCAUCAGGGUGGAACAUUCACAAGAGGCAUAGUUUUCAUUUUAAAAUUUCUACUUAGCUCAGUUUACAGGAACAGCUUUUUUCUAAUCACUCAAACAUUUUUAUAUUGUCUCUUGUUCAUGUUUUGGUCUCCCAGCCUGCAAUUACCAGCAUAUAUAAAGCAGUUAUUAUCACAGGAAAGAUGAUAAAAAAUGUUUUAAAGCAAACAAUUUAAAUCAGCAGUACAGGAAAUUAAGCUGUAAAAGAGAGGUAAGAAGACAGAUAAUGAGUAAAAAUAUAAAGUGUGGACAUGUUUAUAGAGGAACUAAAGGAUGGAAAAAUGGUGUAUGUGAGAGAGGAAGAGAUGAAAAGCCAAAAAAAAGAAGGUCAAAAGUUGUUUCCUCGGAGACCCGCUACUGAUCAGCAAAACGUCACUUCUGUCUGGGUUUUCUGACUUUUGCAGCCCAAUUCUCAGAGUCAGAGAGGGGUGUGUAUACUCAAGGAUUCACUCAGGGAUUUGUUUGCUCUAUUGCCAAAAAAUGAUUGGAAAAAAUAUUGGUGCCUUGGCAGGAAAUGUUAGAACUUUCUCAGAACUAAAAAAAAACAACUGGAACUGUGUAGAAAUUGCAUGAAUAAAAUAUAUCUUUUAAAGAGAAA
This is a long non-coding RNA of Scatophagus argus, 2288 nucleotides long. RefSeq lists it as uncharacterized. The transcript is spliced from 3 exons. NCBI's taxonomy places the organism in Eukaryota, Metazoa, Chordata, Actinopteri, Scatophagidae. The record is from RefSeq and is a predicted model, not a curated record.